Molecule: ribosomal RNA, 503 nt
Filed under: uncultured bacterium
Lineage: Bacteria
Description: bacterial SSU rRNA
Rfam family: Bacterial small subunit ribosomal RNA
Source: RNAcentral
GAUGAACGCUAGCGGCAGGCCUAAUACAUGCAAGUCGAGGGGCAGCACGAGUAGCAAUACUUGGUGGCGACCGGCGCACGGGUGCGUAACACGUAUACAAUCUGCCUUUAACAGGGGGAUAGCCCGGAGAAAUCCGGAUUAAUACCCCAUAAUAAAUGAAACGGCAUCGUUUUAUUUUGAAAGCUCCGGCGGUUAAAGAUGAGUAUGCGCCUGAUUAGCUAGUUGGUGAGGUAACGGCUCACCAAGGCGACGAUCAGUAGGGGAUCUGAGAGGACUACCCCCCACACGGAUACUGAGACACGGAUCCGACUCCUACGGGAGGCAGCAGUAAGGAAUAUUGGACAAUGCCCGCAAGGGUGAUCCAGCCAUGCCGCGUGCAGGAAGACGGCCCUAUGGGUUGUAAACUGCUUUUACACCGGAGAAAACCCCUUCUCGUGAGGAGGGCUGAUAGUAUGGUGAGAAUAAGCAUCGGCUAACUUCGUGCCAGCAGCCGCGGUAAGACG